AGCACAUAUUUUUAUUGCAAUACAUUUAUGAUAUGAUUGAAGAUGAUUAAAACUUGUAUAAAACAUUGUCAGUUGACUGAAAGUUUAUCUGUUAAUAUUCAAAGUUCAAUUAGUACUUAUUGUGUUCUUUAAGUGCAAUAAUUUCUACUCAUGUUCUGUUGAAGAAAACAAUGUAGAUUUGCUGUCUGCAAAAGUAGAACUGGCCAUGUAUAUAAAAAUCGUUACUAUAUAUACCCUUUCAUAAAAAUUUCAAAAUAAUUCAAAUAUAUUAUCAGUGUGUAUGAAUGUGACAAAUUUAAAUCUGAAUGUAGUCUUGUUAACAGUAUUAUCUUUUAAUGGCAUAUUAAAUGAGUGAUGUUUUAUUCACACAAAGUAAAAUAGAUUAAUAACAAAAGUUAAUCCAAUACACUACAUGAACAUUUCAAUAAAAAAAAAAACGCAGAAUGAAUAAAAUAAAAAUUGACGGAUUCAGUUGAAUAUAUUAUGGUAAAUUUAAUUUAACCCCAAAUGGAAUAUAAAGUGUUCACAUAUAGUAAUAUCUCCAUAGUUGUGAAUGAACGCUUAAAAGUAUAUGCAUCUUUUUUGGUUUAAUUAAGUAGUAAUAUAAACAUUUGUAUAUGAGAAUAUCAGAUUUUUCCUGUCAAUGACGUUAUUGUUAUUUUUAUCAGUAUAGAACAUUGUUUGUGCCAAAUUUGACAUUGUUAAUUUUAAUAUUGUUUUUUAUGUCCAUACAUAUAUAAUGGUAUAUAACUUUACAUUUCCACAACAGUUAGGAAAAAAAGACACUUUUUGUAUUAUAACACUUAUAGUUACUGGAAGUUAACCAAAUUACUGUGAAGUUUUAACAUAUUAGGGGGUAUUUUUAAAAGAUCUGGUUUUGUUCCAAGAAAAUGAAGAUGUUGAGAACUUUUCAAAUUUGGAUAUAAUGUACUGAAUUGCAUUAGUUCAAGAAAUAUAAAUUAACUACACAAGAUUUUUUAUGUUAUGGCGUUUAUAAUUAUGUACUGUCAAAUAUUUGCAUUUGUAAGAGGAAACUAAACUCCUAUAACUGUGUAACCUAUCCUCCUUUACCCAGAAAUAAAAUCAAUACUUCAUCAAUGUAGUAAAAUCUGUAAUAAAAAUUCACUUGUAGGUGUAUGGACAAAAGGAAGGAAAUUCAUACUGAUACAAGGAUAACAGUUCUUUUUUCCAAGAAUAUAUUUCCUGAAUAUUUUACUUUAUUUUGUUCUUUUACAUGACAUUUUCAUAACUGCUCAAUUUUGUUGAUUGUUUGUUUAUACUUUUGUUGUAUUUUAUAAACAGAUUAUUUAGAUUUUCAUAUUCUAGUUAUAAUUGUUCAGUUUUGUUAAACCAUAAUGCCUGUAAGCAAACAAUUUAAAAAUCCCAUAAUUUAAUCUGCCUGGCUUUAAAAUGUGCACAUCCACACAGAUGCAAUAUUUUUACAUCUUUUUAAGAAGAUAAUUGAUCAAUAAAUCCCUAGAAAUGUUUUUGCUUAUUAUUUUAAAGAAAUGAGGUUGUAUGACGUAAAAUAACAAUAAGACCCUAUGAUACAGUUUCUUGAAAUCUAGGUAUCUUUGUUUUCUAUACUACAAUUUGUUGGAUUUGUUUACAGGACACACAUGAAUGACAAUGUAUACCUUCCUGGUUGAUUUAAAAUCAAAAUUUGUUUAUUUUGAUCUCCUUAGUUCUUAGAACAUUUAAAAUAAAAAUGUAGAUACCAA
Molecule: long non-coding RNA, 1721 nt
Filed under: Mytilus galloprovincialis (Mediterranean mussel)
Lineage: Eukaryota; Metazoa; Mollusca; Bivalvia; Mytilida; Mytilidae
Source: RNAcentral